GUAUUAAUGGAUUGAGUUUUUUGGGAUGGCGCUGAAACGCCAGUUUGUAUCCGUUGAACGUUCGCAUUGUUAACGAUUUGGUUAACCGUAAAUUGCGUCCCUUGUGCCGUAGAGGUAAGUAUUUGUGACUUUUGAAUGGUUUGUAUCCUCGAUACCGAAUUACGCUGUACCACAGUAGGAUUACUAAGGUUCGCUACCGCUUUGACUUUUUGCAAAUUGACUGUUUGAGGCUGCCCACUGAUAUUUUGCGUCUUCACCUGUAUCCUUUGUAUAUUGGGGAUGUUCGUAGCUGUGGUAAUUGUUUUUACGGUGGCAGUAUUAAGAAUUUGUUGAGGCGAGAUCUGCUGAAAUUUUGGAUGCAUACUCGUCGUUUGCAAACUUGCGACCGUUGUAGCUUGUUGGUGUUUCUUAGGAAUUGCAUCGUUUACGGAGGUUUGAGUUUUAGCUUGUUGGCUGUUCUGGGAACAUGUAGCUGCCUGUAAAGGAUAGACAUGUGCGACACUACUGCUUGGCGAGGGUAAAGAUUGCGAAUUAACUGGUAAAUGAGCGACGUUUGAGGAAGCAUUUAACGUUAAGGGCUGCGUUUGAUAAGCGGUGCUCGGCAAUUUUUGAGAUAUCACGCGAGUUGUCAAAACUUGCGUGGUAUUUGUUUGAGAACUCGUAAUCCUCUGUGCUAUUUCUUUACUAGAUUUCGUAACCGGAUAAGAAACGCUGACUGAUUUUACAUUGGAGAGCGAUAUGGAAUGGCUUACUGCUAUCUCGGGUACGUUCGUCACUUCGAGACACUGGAGUACUUGGGGAUUGUUAUUAUCGCUAUUGUCGUCGCUCAUCGCGACUAAGGUAUUGGCCGUGGUAACGCCGAUCGUUAAUGGUGCAGUCAGUUCUUGAGCACCGAUUAGCAUUGACGACGAGGCGCUGCCGUUUUUAGUUUUCUCGGUUGACGUUUCAACCGUACCCAAUUGUAAAACAAAACUCAUGGUGGCUUCUGUACCCCGUUCAAAGGCAUCGACGUCUUUCUUUCUAUUAUCAUCAUUUUCAUUGAAUUCGUUACGUUGUUCACUCGUCGGAGAUACCGGGGGAUGUGGCCCGUGUUCUGGGGAUAGUUGCUCCCCACUCCCACUUGUGCCACCCCCGGAUAACUUGAUCACCGAUGGGGUCGACGUUUUGAAGGCCUUUCGAUGACGUUCAAUGAAAACUGGAAGGAAUGCAGAUCGGAGGGCUAUCUCUUUUUAACAACCUUACGGAACACGUGUCUGUAUCGUUCGACAAAAGAAACGUUCCUGAAAACGUACUUUAUAAAUGCAUAUCUAUAUAACAUAUGUAUAUCCAUAUAACAAGAAUACAGCUUUACAAAGUACAAACUCCUUUAGGGACCCUUAGGUUGCUACAGAAACGCAUACAGGUCUCACACAAAGAAGUUUAAUAAUUCAACAAGAAAGUCGCGACGUUGGAGCACACAUUUGAGCUUAUCGAUCGAGAAAAGAUGCUUUUUCCUCGAAGAAAAUGCACGUAGCGGUAAAUAAACAUGAGAUAUUCGAUAAGAGUGUUUCGAACGAAAGAAGUAAAAAAUAAAAAAUUAGUAUAGCAAUAGUAUAGCAUGUAUAAUGUUAAUAAAAGGCAACGUUAUGUUUGAUUA
Vespa velutina is the source of this 1636-nucleotide long non-coding RNA. RefSeq lists it as uncharacterized. Lineage: Eukaryota; Metazoa; Arthropoda; Insecta; Hymenoptera; Vespidae. The transcript has 2 exons. The record is from RefSeq and is a predicted model, not a curated record.